Molecule: small RNA, 31 nt
Filed under: Bombyx mori (domestic silkworm)
Lineage: Eukaryota; Metazoa; Arthropoda; Insecta; Lepidoptera; Bombycidae
Description: ovarian small RNA-14174
Source: RNAcentral
CGACCAUGCGGGCCACCACGGCCGGCAGUUA